GCCUCGGUGGUGUAGUGGUUAGAGCACGCUUCCCGGAUAGGAUGAAAACGCCGGUUUGAUUCCCUCCUGAGGCC
This is a non-coding RNA of Parelaphostrongylus tenuis, 74 nucleotides long. Lineage: Eukaryota; Metazoa; Nematoda; Chromadorea; Rhabditida; Metastrongylidae. The record is from the annotation of a GenBank genome assembly.